CUACUGUCAAAAGUAUUUUAAUUCAUAAUAUCAAAAAAAACUGUUGUUUCUUUUGGUUUUUAAUUCAAAAAUAUAUUUUUCAAACGCUCAAGCUAAUAAAAAUGUGUUUUUUGAGUUAUAACUUAAUACUAGUAGAUUGUAAAUCAACGUUCUAUGAACAAAUGUGUAAAUCACACAAAAACAUCAAAAGAUGUAUAGACAAGAAAUUCAUAAAAAAGUUUAAGAAACCUGCUCUCUGGUAGAACAAUCUUAUAUAAUAGAAUCAUGGCAAUCAUUCAAGGAAUUUCAAAAUAAAAGGAAUGUCUAAUUUAAAAAAAAAAAACAAAGUGAGAUCGAGAAAAGCACAAAACACGACAAAAUUGCUUUCAAAUUCGAAUUAGUUCUUAAUAUGAAAUUGCACAUCCAUAAUCAUUCACAUGGUUUCAGUCUCUGUCGCAAAAUAUAUUUUAAAUAUAAUACCAAAGCGGCUGCUGAAAAAUUAAUGCAUUAACAUGCGCGACAAAUCGACAAAUCAAAAUGAACGAAAAUUCUAGUCCUACUAGCAAUGGAAGGUCUUAUAAUAAAAAUGUGUAAAAAUACACCUAUCACGGGUACGAUGUGCACACAACUAGCAUUAUAAAAUUUCGAAAGAUGUCAUAUAAAUGGGAACGAAAUACGCACUAGUAUUUGUCACGAGAAGCAAGGAGUUGUUAGAAUAAAAAAAAAUCAAAUAAAAAAUCACAUGCCAAGUUAAUCCGUAAA
This is a non-coding RNA of Bactrocera oleae (olive fruit fly), 741 nucleotides long. The record is from RefSeq and is a predicted model, not a curated record. Lineage: Eukaryota; Metazoa; Arthropoda; Insecta; Diptera; Tephritidae.